GUGUGUAGGCCUCACUGCCACCACCGGAGCUAUUUUCGUCUCCCGGAGAUGUUCUUUAAAGCCUUUUAAAAAUGGGGAGGGGGCAGGGAAGAAGAGUGAAACAGAAGAGUCCCAGGCCCCAUUUCCGAGACUCUAAGGGCACACCAUUAAAUUGGGGGAGGGGGGCCUGGCACCCGACCCACCGGGGAAAUUCGGAAGGACACAAAGAGUCACCGGCUUUAUUUGAUUUAUUCUACAAUCCAGGAAAACUUUCUGUCUUUUUUUAAAAAUACAAAUCUGUUAGUGGCGACCAGUCACUGUACUGGUCAUUCUUAUAACCAUGCUGCCCACGAUCUGUAGGAAAGAACUCAAGGCAAAUCCUUGUGGUCGUUUCUGCAAACAAGCUAUUUUAGAGGGGAUGGCCCCAUGACAGAUAAAGCACAGAUAACUUCUUUCUACAGUUUACUUUGGGCUAUUUGUGCAUUGUCAGGUGUAUUUAUGCAACUGCUGGUCAUCAUAGUACUGUGAAUAUUCUUCGAUGUUCCUGGUGAAGCAGUAUCCAGUCCCAGCUUCGGCCCAUUCUUUGCCCUUCUUUAUCACUGAUUGCCCAUCUGCAGUAGCAGAAUGGGCUAAGGAAUUUUUCCCCAAGACUACAUUUGCCCUUGGCUCAGCCACUCUCAUGUAUUGGUAAAGUCACUGUCCCCCACUGAUUCCAAAUUCCUACAAUGACAGCACAAGCUGAGCUUGCAAAAAUAGAUCAGUGGCAAGAAGAAUUGAAUCAGAAAACCAGAGGAGAUCAAAGAGAAAGACUCUUAACUCAUCCAAGAUCCAUAGGUUGCCUUGUUGGGUCUUUCCCUUCAGAGUCACAGUCGAAGAACCUCUAGCGAAUCCCAGGAGGAAGGUACUGUAAUUACGCAAAGGCCAGACAUUCAGAAUUGGAGGAGAGCCUGGCUGAAGUAGACUAAGAGGGUCAGAGGACUAUUGACCAUGGCUGCGUCCCAAGUCUGCUCCUCCCUGGACAAGGGGGCCAGCUCCUCAGCCUCCUUGGAAGGCAGAAGGAUUUGCUGGUGCAUUCAAGCGGUGCCCAAAGCUUCCGAGGAUCAAGGACGCGGAAUGGGGCAAGGCCUGAUGAGAACCCUAGCGGUGACAUCCAUAGAUGCGAUCAUAAGGUCCCAUUACCAAACCAAGAGUUUUCUGCCAGAUACAAUGCAGGUCUCAUUAACCAACUCGCCCGUGGGAAAGCUGGGGAGCCACAUCUCCAUCUGAUAGAAUCUGAACGUUUCAGGUAACCAAAGCUUGAUCCUUUUAACAGAAGACGUUAUCAACUUGCUUCUUGCAGCCCUAGAAAACAAUCAAGUCACAACAAGGGUGAAAUUAUUUAACCAGAGAGACGCAUGCAGCUUCUGCAUGACAGGCCGCAGGGUGGGAAGGGCCAGCAGGUUUCUAACAUAGCAUUUGGAAGGCAAUGGUAGCUUUAAUCAUAGUUCUUUAGCUGCUGGAAGCCUUUCCCCUCUCCAGUUUACAUUCUCAGAGGCAUUUACCUUUUUUUAACUAAAAGAAUAAGAAAACAAGAAGGGACCAGUGGUCCAAAGAUAGUGAGCUCACAUGGGAUCUUUUAUUGGUCAGCAGGAUGAACAGAAGGGAGUAGGACUAUUGGUCUAUACCAAGACCUAGUUUUUGGAGAUUAGCAAAAAGAUGUUAAAGAGCUUAGGCGAAGCUAGCCAAGGUUGUGCCUCUAUUUCCUGAGUACACCUUAGAAGAAUCCAUAUACAAAACCAUAUUCAAGCGUAUUUCCCAAAAGUGUGCUUUUUAAGUAAGAUAAAAUUAUUAAUAAGCCCAUCACAUCAGCCAGCUGGAUACUAAUCACCCUCAACCUUCCUGUAACUUGUUCCCUGUCUAACCCCACUGACAUUACCUGCUUGUCGUAUAAACAUAAUUCCACAAGGAUGGGUCCAAUCCGUGUGCCGAUGACUUCAACACACACAUCCCUGGAAUUAAACCAUGACAGGCAAAAACAGAGAUCUUGGGAGAGAAUGGGAAGACGACUGCUUGCAUAUUUCCUGGUUAUCACUUGCUUUCCUGGAGUCUCUCUCUGGCCCUGUCUGCAGUUCAUUUUCAACAGAUGCGGUAAAGGCUCUUGAAAAAGACAUGGCUCGUCGCAUCUCAACUAGGAAUAGAUUAAGUGGAUGGUUUACUUAAAAUAGGGGCGUCUACCAUGCCCCUAACAUGAAAACAAAAUCAGUUUCCUGCAAGGACAAGGUCCACGACAGCUCUGGGAGUGUAUGGAUGAGCUUUGGAAGUCUUGAAGACGUAGGGAAGGUGGUGGGGGGAUGCGCGCACACAUGCAUGUUGGUUCUCAAGAGAAGACGCAUACUUUCCUCACAUUCACGUUUCCAGAAAGGUGAAGAGCCACCGAAAUAAGGAUCGCUCUUUGCAGCAUUGAACAUGAACACACAUUUCCUUCAGCCAAACGUCACGCUGCCUACAACAUGGAUCGUGUUCAGCAAUCACCACUAUUCCAAAAGAUGGUUUUAAAACACAGUACAACUCUCAAUCAUCAAAGAAAUUUAUUUUCAAAGUAUUUUACUUAACGGAUAUAGGAGAAUAUAGCAGCCUAUUAGAAAGGUUUGAAUAUUGAGUUAGAACCAAGUUUAGGUUUUGUUAGCGGUAGACAUAGGACACACUGCAGAGCAGACAGCAGAGCUCAGAGAUCUGAGAUGCAACGGGGCGGGGGGGAGACUGGGGCUCUUCCAUUGCUUUGGGUGGUGGAGGUGGUGGAGUGUUCCUGCUUUUGCUUGAGCUGCCUGGGCAGUUCUCUGUGCCAAGCAAGGUGAGCUAUAGGACGAAAGUACUCAUUGUUUCAGACAGGACUAUCAGGAGCCUUUGGUGCAAAGGGAUGCAAAGAAAAGGGGACAGAAGCCAGCUCACAGCAGGGCAGGGAGGGACAGGUCAGUGGAAGGCAUGGGCGGGGUGUCGGAAUCAACAGGCCCAAGGGUUCCCCUUCCAAAACUGGAGUAAAGGUUGGGUAGCAAAAGAGUUACAAACAAAGGAUGGGGAAAUAAUAACACAGAGCAGAAGGUAAUGAACUGGUGUGAGAAGCUCUGAGUUAAGAGUCCUUUGGAAUAGCCCAACUCCACUGGCCUUAGGAAAUGUUUUAGAAAAAGGUCUGCGGCUAGAGAAAUCAUCAGUGAAUUGGUAAUGCCUUAAACUGGUAAUAAAGGGGGACAAAUUAAGAAUGUAAAGCUUUCAGGAGAGCCAGAAAUAAAGCUGCACUUCCUUGAACAAGGGCUGAUGUGCACUGUAUGAAAUUAUCUAGCACCCAAAGCACAGCAGUGCCGACCAUUUUAAAUAUGUGUAGACACCCCUGUAAUUUGUACCAUAAAUAUCCGAAAGAAUGACUGGUCUCAGAAGUUUAUUUUACACCGAGGGUUUUCUGGAGUCCUUUCAUGUCAGGACCCAAUUUUCCAUUUGAGAUAGCACAUUUAGUGCCUGGGUAGAGACAGGAGCAGAGUUUUCCUUGGCAACCAGGCUCCACUGGAAAAAAUAAUCAAGGUGUCACCCGAUGCCGCAAGCUCCCGAUGGUGUUGUCAUCUGUGUGGACCUGCCAGUCGCCGGAGCAGCAGAGACUCAGCGUCACGGAAAGAUGGCUAAACUUAGAGUCAGGACCGUGGAGGGGGAGUGGCAUGCCUGUCCCUUUCUACUGUGGGGACUUUAGGCAACUCAUUCACCUCCCCCAAACUGGGUUUCCUCUUCAGUAACUGCCUCAUCUCCGCUCACAGUCCUGGGAGCAGGAGGCUUCUGGAGAGCACUAGUGAGCUUCCGAGGUUGUCUCCGCUCCGAGCUCUUCCCCAUGGAAAGCCUCCAGUGGCGGGUCUCUCCUUUCUCAGCACCCUCCGUGUCUGGGCUUGUUUUUGUUUGUCUGACCUGAGUAACACUCCCAGCCCAUUUUUAAAAGUUGGUUUUGGUUUUCAGUCUUGAGACUGCAUUUUGCUAAAUCCCUGAGUUCUCAAAGUUGCCCAGGCUGAGCUCCAACUUGUGAUCCUCCUGCCUCAGCCUUCCAAAGGGCUAAGAUUACAGGUGAGCACCAUCAUACCCGGCUCCUUAUCUCUUCUUCUGCUUUUUAUUGUUCCCGUCUAUCUGCUGCUCCAGGUCUUUGCUGCCUCUAAUGUAACAGAUGUUUUAUUUGUCUUUUGGGGUAUCUGUUACACAAUAAGUGCUCUAUAAUUGCUAACUGAAUAAACAAUUACCAUGGGAGAA
This is a long non-coding RNA of Cavia porcellus (domestic guinea pig), 4236 nucleotides long. RefSeq lists it as uncharacterized. The record is from RefSeq and is a predicted model, not a curated record. The transcript has 2 exons. Lineage: Eukaryota; Metazoa; Chordata; Mammalia; Rodentia; Caviidae.